UGCUAGCAGAGUUACCCAGGUCGGUUCC
This 28-nucleotide non-coding RNA is filed under the name Mus musculus (house mouse). Lineage: Eukaryota; Metazoa; Chordata; Mammalia; Rodentia; Muridae. The record is from RNAcentral.